AGAUGAGACCUUAGCCUCACUAUUAUCUCUACGCGAUGUGUUCAAUGUUAACCGGAAUAGCUUGGUAAUCCGAGACAGAGGUCUGGCUCCUUUGGUAGGGUCGUUGUAGAUUUUCACGCUCCUCCAGCCACUUUUAGUAGAUGUCUAUACGCAAACAUAUUAUGCUUCCGCUUGACACUUGUAUGACUUGAGUGUUGGGUCAUGUGACCCCUAUUUGUAAU
Molecule: long non-coding RNA, 221 nt
Filed under: Hordeum vulgare
Lineage: Eukaryota; Viridiplantae; Streptophyta; Magnoliopsida; Poales; Poaceae
Description: long non-coding RNA (HVUL_LNC015966)
Source: RNAcentral